UACGUAGGUUGCAAGCGUUGUCCGGAUUUACUGGGCGUAAAGAGCGCGCAGGCGGCUGUUCAAGUCGGGUGUGAAAGCCCCCGGCUCAACUGGGGAGGGUCACGCGAUACUGAUCGACUCGAAGGCAGGAGAGGGUAGUGGAAUUCCCGGUGUAGUGGUGAAAUGCGUAGAUAUCGGGAGGAACACCAGUGGCGAAGGCGACUACCUGGCCUGUUUCUUGACGCUGAGGCGCGAAAGCUAGGGGAGCAAACGGG
Molecule: ribosomal RNA, 254 nt
Filed under: uncultured bacterium
Lineage: Bacteria
Description: partial 16S ribosomal RNA
Rfam family: Bacterial small subunit ribosomal RNA
Source: RNAcentral